CCUACGGGUGGCAGCAGUGGGGGAUAUUGCACAAUGGGGGGAACCCUGAUGCAGCGACGCCGCGUGGGUGAAGGAGCGUUUCGGCGCGUAAAGCCCUAUCGGCAGGGAAGAAGAAGGACGGUAACUGACUAAGAAGCCCCGGCUAACUACGGGCCAGCAGCCGCGGUAAUACGAAGGGGGCAAGCGUUAUCCGGAUUUACUGGGGGGAAGGGGGGAGGAGACGGCAGCGCAAGACAGGUGGGAAAGCCCGGGGCCCAACCCCGGGACUGCUCUUGGAACUGCGCGGCUGGAGUGCAGGAGGGGCAGGCGGAAUUCCUGGUGUAGCGGUGAAAUGCGUAGAUAUCAGGAGGAACACCGGUGGCGAAGGCGGCCUGCUGGACUGCGACUGACGUUGAGGCCCGAAAGCGUGGGGAGCAAACAGGAUUAGAUACCCGGGUAGUC
Molecule: ribosomal RNA, 441 nt
Filed under: uncultured bacterium
Lineage: Bacteria
Description: partial 16S ribosomal RNA
Rfam family: Bacterial small subunit ribosomal RNA
Source: RNAcentral